UACGGGGGGAGCAAGCGUUGUUCGGAUUUACUGGGCGUCAAGGGCGCGUCGGCGGCCACCGCAAGUCUAUUGUGAAAUCUCCGGGCUUAACUCGGAAAGGUCAACCGAUACUGCGGGGCUAGAGUGCAGAAGGGGCAACUGGAAUUCUCGGUGUAGCGGUGAAAUGCGUAGAUAUCGAGAGGAACACCUGCGGCGAAGGCGGGUUGCUGGGCUGACACUGACGCUGAAGCGCGAAAGCUAGGGGAGCGAACGGG
RNAcentral lists this ribosomal RNA (254 nucleotides) under uncultured bacterium. RNAcentral's name for it is "partial 16S ribosomal RNA". It matches the Rfam family "Bacterial small subunit ribosomal RNA", at positions 524 to 776 of the family's 1533-position model. The record is from RNAcentral.